RNAcentral lists this ribosomal RNA (253 nucleotides) under uncultured bacterium. RNAcentral's name for it is "partial 16S ribosomal RNA". It matches the Rfam family "Bacterial small subunit ribosomal RNA", at positions 524 to 776 of the family's 1533-position model. The record is from RNAcentral.
UACGAACUGUGCAAACGUUAUUCGGAAUCACUGGGCUUAAAGGGUGCGUAGGCGGCUUGCUAAGUAGGGUGUGAAAGCCCCCGGCUCAACCGGGGAAUGGCGCCCUAAACUGGCGAGCUGGAGUGAGAUAGGGGUGUGCGGAACUUCCAGUGGAGCGGUGAAAUGUGUUGAUAUUGGAAGGAACGCCUGUGGCGAAAGCGGCGCACUGGGUCUCAACUGACGCUGAGGCACGAAAGCCAGGGGAGCAAACGGG